Molecule: non-coding RNA, 502 nt
Organism: Paramisgurnus dabryanus
Lineage: Eukaryota; Metazoa; Chordata; Actinopteri; Cypriniformes; Cobitidae
Source: RefSeq, a predicted model, not a curated record
ACAGGAUGGAGACUACCUGAUUCUUUGCCUAUGGCCUCAGCUUCAAAUGCAAGAAGUCCAGCAACUGUCUGAGUUGUUGGAUAUUCUGUCAGAAACGGCGUGAACAAUGUUAUGAACAGAAUGAUGUCUAAUUGUCUUAUGGCAAAGUUCAAUAUGAGGGGUGGCGGACAUCUGGAAAAGUUCAAUAUGAGUGGUGGUGGACAUCUGGAAAAGAAGUCUUUUAAAGGCACACCUUUGUAUUAUGUUAUUCAAGAUGCUGUGAAGAGGUGGAGCCCAAAUGCCACAGACUCGGAAAUAGAUGCAGCUAUGGCAGACCACCUCAAGCACGGUCCAGGAAGAGCUGGGGGUUGUGAAUACACUAAAUAAGCCAAACAGCUGUAAUGUGUUAAAGAGAGAGUUAACCCAAAAAUGAAAAUUUUAUAAUUUUCUUACCCACAUGUUUCAAACCUGUAUACAUUUCUAUUUUCUGCUGAACACAAAGAUUGAAAAAUUUUUGUAACCA